This 8150-nucleotide long non-coding RNA is filed under the name Sus scrofa (pig). RNAcentral describes it as "lncRNA (ENSSSCG00040056051.1)". Lineage: Eukaryota; Metazoa; Chordata; Mammalia; Artiodactyla; Suidae. The record is from RNAcentral.
UUCUCCAAACACACAAACACAACGUACGUACAAACAGUCGACAAGCCCAUGAAAAAGCUUUUCCCUGAGGGAAAAGCAAGUGGAAACAACAAGCAGCCACCGGGGCCGCUGGGACUCGGUCAGCGCUGCUGAGGAUGUGGAACCCGGACCCCCGAGUCCUGCCGACGGCACCGAAGGAGGCGGUGGCCGCUGAGGAUGUCAUCUCCAAACAGCCCCCCAGGGCGCACUCGCAGGGCGCCACUCGCCCCGGCAGAGUCCCCUCCCGGCUCCCAGAGAAACCCGGGCCGCAGCGGUGGGACCAGGACGACCAGCCGCGGGACACCACCCGAGCGUGCGUCGAUUUGUGAGACCGGGAGGCCCACACGGCGCAAUCUUUUUAAGUCAUAAAACGAAGGAGGACAGCAAAGAAACGGACGCUACAAAAGUAAUGCCAUAACGGAGCUCCUGCGGUGGCGAGGAGGUUGGAACCAUGAGGUUGAGAGUUCGAUCCCCGCCCUCGCUCAGGGGGUUAAGGAUGCAGCAUUGCCGCGAGCUGUGCUGUGGGCCACAGACGCAGCUGGGAUCCUGGGCUGCUGGGGCUGCGGUGGAGGCCGGCGGCCACAGCUCCGAUGGGACCCCUAGCCCGGGAACCUCCACAUGCCGCGGGAGUGGCCCUAGAAGACAGAAAGACAAAAAACAAUAAAAUAAUGCUAUAAGGACAGGCCCUGAAAACAUGUUUAGUGGAAGCACCCUGACACGGAAGGUCGCACAUUGCGUAAUUCCACUGGUGUGAAAUGUCCAGAGGAGGCAAAUACACAGACAGAAAGCAGCUCCGUGACUGCCAGGGUGACGGACACUAAGUCCGGGGCUUCCUGUGGGGUGACGAACGUGUCCCCAUGUCUGCAGUGAGGACGGCACAGAUCUGUGAAUACAGGGAAAGAAGAAAUACCCGCCGAAUCACACACUUGGAGUGGGGGCAUUAGUGACGCGAAUGUCAUCUCAGAAAGUGGUCAGGAGGGUGGAAGCGCAGGACGUGGCGCUCACCCCCCACCCCAGAUACGUUAAAAACAUAACCAACCAACCAACCAACCUAGGAGUUCCCAUCGUGGCGCAGUGGUUGACGAAUCCGACUAGGAACUAUGAGGUUGCGGGUUCGAUCCCUGGCCUUGCUCAGUGGGUCAAGGUUCCAGCAUUGCCGUGAGCUGUGGUGUAGGAUGCAGACGAGGCUCGGAUCCCGCGUUGCUGUGGCUCUGGCGUAGGCCGGUGGCUACGGCUCCGAUUGGACCCCUAGCCCGGGAACCUCCAUAUGCUGCAGGAGUGGCCCAAGAAAUGGCAAAAAGAAAAAAAAUAAACAAAAAUAAAAAAAAUAACCAACCAACCAACCAACCUAGGAGUUCCCAUGUUGGUACAGUGGGUUGAGGAUUGGGUGCCGUCUCUUGGGCAGUGCGGGUUCAACCCACAGGCAGCACAGUGGGCUAAGGACCCAGCGCUGCUGCAGCUGUCGCUUGGAUUCGAUCCCUGGCCCGGGAACUUCCAUAUGCCACAGGUGCUGCCGGCGGGGUGGGGGGCAUCUAUACACAGAAUGAUUCUCAAAGAACAAGCACUGAAGGCUGGCAGAAGACCUCAGACUUUCAAAACGGGCAAGAAGACCUCCACAUAACUGGGCAGGACCAAAAAAAAGGGAGAGAGGAGAGAAAAAAAGGACUCAGGACAGGACGAGCACUCCUGGGAGGGAGCUGUGAAAGCGGAAAGGAACCUGCGCCCUGGGGGGCCCCCUGACUGGGGGAUCCCGGGGACAGAGGGGAGCCUCAAACCUGAGGGGGCUGGGGAGUGGUGCUGGGGGGUGCAGGAGGCCUGGGCUGCCAGGGAGGCGCUGCUGCCGGGACUGCCACAGAACCUCUUUCUCUGCGCACAGGCUCGGGUGGCGGGGCCCCUCUUGCAUGGGCUGUCGGGGUGGGUGCGAGCCACCCUAGCCAUCCCGGACUCCAGAGGUGGGCGAGGCUCACCCCUGCCUGCUGCCCCCACCCCUGGGAAUGGGCACAUCCAGACAUGGUCAUGGGGGAGGGGCCCCCCAGCCUGCUGCUGCCGCCCUUACCCGCAAGGGCCCAGCCUUUGCCCCCACCCCUUGGGAAGGCACAUGCCCCCCCACACACACUGCACCUGCCAAGGGCCCAUGACUGGGCACCCCCUCCACCUUCCUAUGGGUCACAGCCACGGCCAAGGGCCCCGCAACCGGGUACCACUGCAGGCACCACCCACUGCCCCCACCUCCCUCGACGCACAGGGGGGCCGAGCACCCACACACCCCCUAUCAGGGGGACAACGGCCUGCACACACUGAGCAAAAGCAGCCUCAGAGCAAAACCCAGGAAACCCACACCAGCUACCCAGGGAUGCCCUUGCAUAUAAACAGCCCUCCAAGAUGCCAGGAGACAGCUGCUGCCCCUAAACUCACAGAGCAGGAGACACAGGAGCGAAAUGAAGCAACGCCAGAACCGCUCCCAGUGACGGGGACAGACCUCCCCGAAGGAGGAACAAUGCAGCCGCCCUCGGCAGACAGCGGGUUCGAGGGGAGCUCAUGAAAACCCUGAGGAGGUGAGAACGCCCACGGACAGAAACGCAGCCUACUGUGGAAAGCGGCUGGAAACGACGAGGACGGGUAAGACGGGAAGGUUCACUCGCGAAGGUAAGAGCUGAGCUGCGGACAAUGGACGGCAGGGUGAGCCACGCAGAGGCACGAGCACGUGACUCGGAAGGGGGACGGAAGGAAGGCCACCCAAGCAGGACAGCACGCGGGGAGCCACAGGGGAAAGAAGAAAGGAGCAAAAAUCGCAGCCAUCCACGGACUCACGUGAAGCGCGUCAGGCUAGGCGAACCAGGGGUCCGAAGAGGAUGAGGAAGAGAAAAGGGGGCUGAAGACGCAUUUGAGGAAAUGACGGCUGAAAACGUCCCAAAUCUAAAGGGUUUCGGAAACAGACACCCAGAUACAGGAAGCACGGGUCCCAAAGAGACCCCCACCAAGGCAUCUUAUAAUACAAACAGCAGAACUUACAGAUAAGGCAAGAUUCCAACGGCAGCAAGCGGAGUGCCCGCCGUGGCUCAGUGGGAACGGGCCCAACUAGUACCCAUUAGGAUGCGGGUUUGAGCCCUGGCCUUGCUCAGUAGGCUAAAGACCCGGUGCUGCCAUGAGCUGGGGUGCAGGCCGCAGACGUGGCUCAGAUUCCGCGUUGCUGAGGCUGUGACGUAGGCCGGCAGCUACAGCUCCAAUUCCACACCUAGCCUGGGAACUUCUAUAUGACACAGGUGCAGCCAUAAGAAAAAGGCAAAAAAAAAUUUUUUUUAAAUAAAGGCAGCAAGAGAAAAACAAAGAGUUAAUUAUAAGGGAACCCCCAUAAGGCUAUCAGCUAAUUCCUCUUCAGAAACACUGCGGCCGAAAGGAAUGGCAUGAUUCUUCUAAAAGGGAAAAAUACGCAACUUAGAAUACUCUACCCGCAGACUAUCAGUUAAAACAGACGAAUAGCCAGGACAUGGAAACAACCAAAAUGCCCACCAACAGAUGGAUUAAGCAGAUGUGGUGCAUAUUUACAAUGGACUACAACGUGGCCUUAAAAAAGAACAAAAUAACGCCAUUCACAGUCACACAGGUGCAGCUAGAGAGGAUCUCGCUAAGUCAGUCAGAAGAAGGAAAUACCGUGACAUCACUUAUAUGUGGAAUCUCACAUAUGGCACAAAUGAACCAUCUACAAAACAGAAAGAGACUCACAGACACACACAAAUAAGCCAGAGUGCAGAUCCAAGAGGAAAAAAAGCCCUACUUGUGAAAGUGAUGGCAACCCAAGGAAGAGCAAAAGGAUAGCCCCGAAAAUGUCAGAAAGAACAUCGAGAACCAUAAAAUGGGGGUAAGGAGAGUAAAAAAACGUAGGUUCUUUUUUUAGGACAUGUCUGAGCCUACACGACUAUCGGUCUAAAGCAAGCAGAUACAGCAAGGGGUUACGACACUUGAAAAACGGGGCAAUCGCAAAUCACAAACAAACAAAAGAUUCACAAAAACCAAAGAGGAAAGGAUACAAGCAUAAGAAACAAAAAGAAACAGAAAGGAACAAAAAGGGAACAGAACUGACCGGGUUACCUUUGGGGGAAGGAUAAACGAGGGGCGCGGGACUGAUACGCCUACGGGGACACGCACCACGCUGUGGAAACGACGGGUAGAAGGACCUCCUGCAGGACACGGGGAAGUUGGCGCAGUGAUGUGUGACAACCUGGAAGGGAAAGAAUCUGAAAAGGAACAGACAGACCCAAACGCACGACUGAUUCACCUUGCUGUACAUCUGAGAUUAACGCAACGCUGUAAACCUGUAAAUCAACUAUACUCCGAAACAACACUAGUAAUAAUGACAACCUCAGAUGUCAACGGACCGAACGUGCCGAUCAAAAGACACAGUGGCAGACUGGAUAAAAAACAAGCGCCUACAAUACGCCGCCUGCACGAGACUCACCUUAGGGCAAAGAACACAUGUACACUGAAAAUGAGGAGAUGGAAAAAGCUAUUUCACGUGAAUGGAAAUGACAGGAAAGCAGGCGUCACAAUACUCACGUCAGACAAAACAUCCCUAAAGCCAAGGCCAUAGAGGAGGAUAAAGGACACCACUUAAGGCUAAAAGGAUGGGUUCACGAGAAGAUACCACACUCGUCAACACCUAUGCUCCGACCGUAGCAGCACCCACAUACAUCCAACAGGCACAGCGGGAGAAACCGAGGGGACACACUCACAGUAGGACACCUUACCACCCACUCUCAUCAAUGGACAGAUCCUCGAGACAGACCAAUAAGGCAACAGAGGGAGUUCCCACUGUGGCUCAGUGCUAACGAGCCCAACCGGUAUCCACAAGGAUGUGGGUUCCAUCCCUGGACCUGCUCAGUGGAUUAAGGAUCCAGCAUUGCCAUGAGCGCAGUUUAAAGGGGGGGACGAGGCUUGGAUCUGCUGCUGCUGUGGCUGUAGCGCAGCUCCAAUUCGACCCCUGGCCUGGGAGCUUCCAUAUGCUGCAGGUGUGGCCCUAAAAAGCGGGGGAAAAAAAAAAGGCCAGCAGAGAUCCUCAAUGACACAAGAGAACAGUCAGACCAAUUGAUAUUUUCAGGACAUUAUCCAAAAAACCCAGAAUAUACAUUCUUUUCAAGUACCCGUGGAACAUUCUUUAGGAUUGAUCACCUAGUAAGGGCACAAAACUAACCUCAACAAAUUUAAGAACACAGAAUUAUGUCAAGCAUUUUCACAAUGGCAUGAAACUAGAAAUCAACCACAGGAAAAGAAAUGAGAAAACCCAACUACCUGGAGACUAAACAUGCUACUAAAACCCCAAUGGGUCAGCAAAGAAAUCAAAAAGGAAAUUAAAAAUAUCCUGAGACAAACAACAAUGAAAACACCACCACACAAAACCUGUGGAACCCCACAAAAACUGUGCUUAGAGGGAAGUUCAUAGCAAGACAGACAUUCCUCAAAAAAGAAAAAAAUCUCAAAUAAUCCAAGUGCUUAUUUGCAUUAGAAAAAGAAAAUAAAUCUAAAGUCAGCAGAAGGAAAGAAAUAACAAAGAUCAGAAAGAAAAUAAAUAAGACGUAUUAAAAGAACAACAGAAAAAAAUCAAUAAAAGCAAAAGCUGGUUUGAACGGGUAAACAAAAUUGACAAACCUCUGGCCUGGCUCACCAUGAGAAGAGAGAGAACUCAAAUAAAAUAAGAAGUGAAAAAGGAGAAAUCUCAAUAGACAUUUUGCAGAAAUAGAGAAAGUUUCAGAACCUGAUGAACAAUUAUGCCAACAAAUCUGACAACCUAGAAGAAAUGGACAACUUUCUAGAAACACACAGCCCACCAAAACCGAUGCAACAAGUAGAUCGCACAAAGGCGGGGGGGAGGAGGGGGAGACUAGGAAUAAACACGAACAAGGAGGUGAAAGACCAAUAUGCCAAGAACUAGAAAACAUUAGGAAAGGAAAUUAAAAAGAUUCCAAGAAACGGAAACCGAUGCUCUUGCAGUGGAAGGAUUAACCUACUCGAGUGGCCAUACCGCCCAAAGCAAUCGACAGAUUUAAUAUGAUCCCUGUCUAAUUACCCAUGACAUUUUCAGAGAACUAGAACAAAUAACCCCAAAAUUUAUAUGAAACCAUAAACGAUGCAGAAUUGCCAAAGCCAUCCUGAGGAAAAAAACCAGCAGGAGGCAUCACUCUCCCAGACCUCAGACAAUACUACAAAGCCUCAGUAGUCAAAACAGUGUGGUACUGGUACAAAAACAGACAGACAGACCAACGGAACAGAAUAGAGAGCCCAGAAAUAAACCCAGACACCUACGGUCAAUUAAUCUUCAACAAAGGAGGCAAGAACAUAAAAUGCAAGUGGACAGCUGCAUGUAAACCAAUGAAACUAGAACACACCCUCACACCUUGCACAAAAAUAAACUCAAAAUGGCUUAAAGUCUUAAACUUAAGUCAAGACACCAUCAAACGCCUAGAAGACAACACAGGCGAAACAUUCUUACUUCAACCAUACAAACAUUUUCUUAGGUCUCCCAAAGCAACAGAAGUAAAACAAAAAUAAACCACAGGGACCUCAUCAAACUGACAAGCAUUCGCACAGCAACGGAAACCAAACCAAAACGAAAAGACAGCCUGCGGGAUGGGGGGAUGACGGCAGACAACGCGACCAACAAGGGCUUCAUCUCCAAGCACACACACAACACAGACUCAACAGCAAGCAGACAACACAACUGACAAACGGCAGAAGACCUGAGUGGACAUGUUUCCAAAGAAGACGUACAGAUGGCCAACAGGCACAUGGAAAGAUGUCCAACAUCACUAUCAGAGAAACGCAAAUCCAAACCACAACGAGGUACCGCCUCGCACUGGUCAGCAUGGCCCUCGUUACCAAGUUUACAGUAACAACUGCUGGAGAGGGCGUGGAGAAAAGGGAACCCUCCUGCACUGGUGGUGGGGAUGUAAACUGGUACGACCACUGUGGAAAACAGUAUGGAGGUUCCUCAGAAAACUAAACACAGAACUACCAUAAGAUCCAGCAAUCCCACUCCUGGGCACAUAUCCUGACAAAACUUUCGUUGAAAAAGACACAUGCACCCCUAUGUUCACUGCAGCACUGUUCACAAUAUCCAAGACAUGGAAACAACCUAAAUGUUCACUGAAAGAUAAAUGGAUCAAGAUGUGGUACAUAUAUGCAAUGGAAUACUACUCAGCCAUUAAAAAGCACAAAAUAAGGCCAUUCACAGCCACACAGAUGCAACUAGAGAUUAUCAUGCCAAGCAAAGCAAGUAAGAAAAAAAUACCAUAUGGCAUCACUUAUAUGUGGAAUCUAAAAUAUGGCACAAAUGGGAGUUCCCAUCAUGGCUCAGCAGUAAUGAACCUGCCUAGUACCCGUGAGGACACAGGUUCGUCGAUCAGUGGGUUAAGAAUCUGGUGUUUCUAUGAGCUGUGGUGUAGGUCACAGAUUCAGCUCAGAUCCUGCAUUGCUGUGGCUGUGGUGCAGGCCGGUCCAGCUCUACUGGACCCCUAGCCUGGGAACUUCCGUAUGCCAUGGGUGGGGCCCUAAAAGGAAAAAAAUAAAAUUAAAAUUAAAUUAAAUUAAAUAAGGCGCAAAUGAACCACUUACAAAACAGAAAGAGACUCACAGACAUGGAGAACAGACUUGUGGUUGCCAAGGAGGAAGGGGAGUUUGAGGUUGGCAGAUGCAACUUCUACACUUAGAACAAGGUCCUACCGUAUAACACAGGGAACUAUUUCUAACCUCCCGGGAUAGACCGCGAUAGAAUAUAAUGUAAAAAACAAUGUAUACGUGUGUAUGACUGAGUCACUCUGCUGUGACUUGGCACAACCGAAAUUGGCACAACAUUGUAAAUCAAAUAUGCAUCAAUUUAAAAAUUAAGAAUUAUAGGAGUUCCCCACGUGGCUCAGCAGUGAAUGAACCCAACUAGAAUCCAUGAGGACUCAGGUUCCAUCCCUGGCCUUGCUCAGUGGGUUAAGGAUCCAGCGUUGCCAUGAGCUGUGGUGUAGGUCACAGACGCUGCUCAGAUCCAGCGUUGCUGUGGCUGUGGUGUAGGUUGGCAGCUACAGCUCCGAUUUGACCCCUAGCCUAGGAACCUCCCUAUGCCGUGAGUGCAGCCCUAAAAAAGACAAAAA